RNAcentral lists this ribosomal RNA (447 nucleotides) under uncultured bacterium. RNAcentral's name for it is "partial 16S ribosomal RNA". It matches the Rfam family "Bacterial small subunit ribosomal RNA", at positions 29 to 523 of the family's 1533-position model. The record is from RNAcentral.
AACGAACGCUGGCGGCAGGCUUAACACAUGCAAGUCGAACGCCCCGCAAGGGGAGUGGCAGACGGGUGAGUAACGCGUGGGAAUCUACCCAUCUCUGCGGAAUAGCUCCGGGAAACUGGAAUUAAUACCGCAUACGCCCUACGGGGGACAGAUUUAUCGGGGGUGGAUGAGCCCGCGUUGGAUUAGCUAGUUGGUGGGGUAAAGGCCUACCAAGGCGACAAUCCAUAGCUGGUCUGAGAGGAUGAUCAGCCACAUUGGGACGGAGACACGGCCCAAACUCCUACGGGAGGCAGCAGUGGGGAAUAUUGGACAAUGGGCGCAAGCCUGAUCCAGCCAUGCCGCGUGAGUGAUGAAGGCCUUAGGGUUGUAAAGCUCUUUCACCGGUGAAGAUAAUGACGGUAACCGGAGAAGAAGCCCCGGCUAACUUCGUGCCAGCCGCCGCAGUAA